GAGCGAGCCAGUCUGGAGUCAGGCUGUCCUCCCCUCAUCCAGUGAGGGGGUGUUGGGAAGAUGGUCAGUUCCCUCUCCUCACUGUGUCUGGACCGAUUAAGAACUGAAACACGGGAACUCGAUGGAGGGAGAGCAACGGUGCCAGUGAAUUUCAAACUGCAUUUGUAAUGAACACAGAGCCUUCUGGGGGGGCCUUAGGUGCUGCAAUCAGGAAGCAUGGAUUUGGGUGCAAGAGAAAGGUGUUGCAAGGAUUGCGCAGAAGAGGCUGGUUUUAUAGGCAGAGGAGGACAGAACGAAGUGGAAACAAAGAAGCAGGGAGGCAGAGCCUUCAAAGUCACUUUUCCUACAAAGCCGAGGGCACAGGAGUCCUAUUAGGCUGACUCAGAGAAAGCCCACGGAUGUCGCAACGCACGGCUGCCUUUUGGACGGUGUGGAGACAAAGGGGCUCUCAGCUUGGGGAGAUGGAGGCCAAGCAGA
Tupaia belangeri chinensis (Chinese tree shrew) is the source of this 477-nucleotide long non-coding RNA. RefSeq lists it as uncharacterized. The record is from RefSeq and is a predicted model, not a curated record. The transcript has 3 exons. Lineage: Eukaryota; Metazoa; Chordata; Mammalia; Scandentia; Tupaiidae.